Molecule: ribosomal RNA, 380 nt
Filed under: uncultured eukaryote
Lineage: Eukaryota
Description: partial 18S ribosomal RNA
Rfam family: Eukaryotic small subunit ribosomal RNA
Source: RNAcentral
CAAUAGCGUAUAUUAAAGUUGUUGCGGUUAAAAAGCUCGUAGUUGGAGUUCUGCCAGGUGCCGUCUGUCCGCCCCAGUGGUGAGUACGUGACGCGCAUUUGGCCCUUUCAAGGGGAGCGUAUCUGCACUUUACUGUGUGGUGCGGGAUCCUUGACUUUUACUUUGAGGAAAUAGGAGUGUUCCAAGCAGGCUCUCGUCGUGCACAGCUCAGCAUGGAAUAAUAGCAUUGGACCUCGAUUCUAAGCUGUUGGUUGCCAGAAGCGAGGUAAUGAUGAAGAGGGAUAGUUGGGGGCAUUCGUAUUUAACUGUCAGAGGUGAAAUUCUUGGAUUUGUUGAAGACGGACUACUGCGAAAGCAUCUGCCAUGGAUGUUUUCAUUGA